Molecule: unclassified non-coding RNA, 253 nt
Filed under: uncultured Moraxellaceae bacterium
Lineage: Bacteria; Pseudomonadati; Pseudomonadota; Gammaproteobacteria; Moraxellales; Moraxellaceae
Description: contains 16S-23S intergenic spacer region
Rfam family: Bacterial small subunit ribosomal RNA
Source: RNAcentral
UACAGAGGGUGCGAGCGUUAAUCGGAUUUACUGGGCGUAAAGCGUGCGUAGGCGGCUUUUUAAGUCGGAUGUGAAAUCCUCGAGCUUAACUGGGGAAUUGCAUUCGAUACUGGAAAGCUAGAGUAUGGGGGAGGAUGGUAGAAUUUCAGGUGUAGCGGUGAAAUGCGUAGAGAUGUGGUGGAAUACCGAUGGCGAAGGCAGCCAUCUGGCCUAAUACUGACGCUGAGGUACGAAAGCGUGGGGAGCAAACAGG